CAGUCAACAAUAGCAUAUUAAUGGGGAUGAUUUAAGGAGCCCAAGCUUCUAUUCUGUUGCCAGAAUGCCAACGGGAAUGUAUGCUACUUUUCAAAAAAUAGGUGUUGACAAUAGCCUGCAGUAUUGCACUGUAGUCAAAGAAGAGUGCUGAAAGCUUCAGUUCAUAAAAAUGCUUGAUUCAUCAAAAAUAAUCACCUCACCUGAUAAUUGAAAGCUACAGAGAAUUAUUAUGCAGCCGUGGACUCUCAAAAAUUUAUUCAUUUUUGGUAAUUAACAUUAUUUCUUCUUGAUGAUGUUGCUAAAUGGCUUGAACCCAGUCUGAAGAACCAUGCAUGAUCAUUUAUGCUGAAAAGAAAAGAAAUUAGAAGCUUUUGUUGCACAGAAUGGUGGAUAAAGAUUGCGAAUUUGCACAGCUAUAAAGCUUACUAAUUAAAGACUACAAACACAAAGAGAGCAAGCCUUGUGAUGACUGCACAAUAACGAGGAUUCAGAUACAACGUGGUCGCCACCUGACGCCCACCUCCACAAAAAGCCAUUCUCAAAAGGAGAGAGACAUUCAUAUCCAGAAGAGGGAGUCGGCUGUAGGGUAGAGCACUUCAAAUGCAUCAAAGGUCCAGAGAGAAGCUUCUUCUGGUCACCUUGAUCUUGUGAUGCAAGGCAGGUGGGAGCAAGGGCUCCACCUCUGCAGACACAGAGAUGACGGGGUCGCCAUGCCGGCGUUUUAGUCCCGGUUUCCUCUGCUCGAGUAGUUGGUGGCCUCCUGCCUGUUCCCUAACAUAACUUCACUUUCCUUACCUGCAAAACGAAAUUAGUAUUUCCUCCCUCACAAGGUGCUUGAUGCCCUUCCCCUUGCGUUUACUUUGCCUGAGAGACUAUAUCAUAUCUAUGAUUUUGUGAAUGGGGCAAAAGGAAUUGAGAGUGUCAGGGUAUACCUUAUAAAUAAGCCACUAAAGGUUACAUCCUCAUUCCACAAACUGACCUAAACAAUUUGGCUGUCACUAAUAGAUUAUUUUGGUCAGUUAUGGCAUUUAGAGGGAGAAGAGAGAGUAUAUAUAUAUGGGUGGGGUGUGUGUGUAUGCGUGUGUAUGUGUGUGUUUACAGUCAAAAUACCAAAAUAUAUCUAUGUAUAUAAAUAUAUUUGCUUUCUUUGUUUUUGUUACAAUAAACUUGUACAUACAAUUCUGACACACAUAUUUUCAUAUGUAGGCACAAAAAUAGUCAUACAAAAAAUACCACAAAAGGUAAUAACAAAGUGGAAGAAGACAUAGGAACAGAGAACAAACCAACACAUAGAAAAAGUAACAAACAUGGUAGAUACGAAUCCAGCUAUAUCAAUAAUCGCGUUAAACAUCAAUGGUCUUAAAUAUACUAGACAGUGGAAUAUUAUUCAGCAUUGAAAAGAAAUGACCUAUCAAGCCAUGAAAGACAAGGAGGAACCUUAAAUGCAUGUUACUGAGUGAAAGAAGCCAAUCUGAAAAGGCUGCAUCCUGCAGGAUUCUGACUCUAUGACAUUCUGGAAAAGGUAAAACUACUAAGACAGUGAAAAGAUCAGUAGCUGCCAGGGGUUACGGGAAGGGGAUGAUGAAUAAGUGGGGCACAGCAUUUUGAGGAGGUGAAACUACUCUGUAGGAUACUGUAACAGUAAAUCCAUGUCAUUAUAUGUUUGUACACACCCAUAGAACACCAGGAGGACAGCACCAAGAGGGAGCCCUAGUGUGAACUGUGGACUCUGGUUGGUAAUGAUGUGCCUGUGAAGCUUCAUUGUUUGCAGCAAAUGCAUCAGUGUGGUGGGGGAUGUUUCUAAAUUGAUAAUGAAGGACGCCAUAGGUGUAUGGGGGCAGAGAGUUUAUGAGAAAUCUGUACCUUUUGCUCAAUUUUACUGAACAUAAAACUGCUGAAGCCAUCAUUCUCAGCAAACUAACCCAGGAGCAGAAAACCAAACGCCGCAUGUUCUCACUCAUAAGUGGGAGUUGAACAAUGAGAACACAUGGACACAGGGAGGGGAACAUCGUCACACACCGGAGCCUGUCGCAGGGUGGGGAGCUGGGGGAGGGAGAGCAUUAAGACAAAUACCUAAUGCAUGUGGGGCUUAAAACCUAGAUGAUAGGUUGAUAGGUGCAGCAAACCACCAUGGCACAUGUAUACCUAUGUAACAAACCUGCACAUUCUGCACAUGUAUCCCAGAACUUAAAGUAAAAUAUAUUAAAAAAAUUAAAGUCUAUUUUAAAAAAAGAAAA
Molecule: long non-coding RNA, 2237 nt
Filed under: Homo sapiens (human)
Lineage: Eukaryota; Metazoa; Chordata; Mammalia; Primates; Hominidae
Description: HSALNT0355976
Source: RNAcentral